GAUGAAGAACGCAGCGAAAUGCGAUAAGUAGUGUGAAUUGCAGAAUUCAGUGAAUCAUCAAAUCUUUGAACGCACAUUGCGCCCCUUGGUAUCCCGAGGGGCAUGCCUGUUCGAGCGUCAUUUCACCACUCAAGCCUGGCUUGGUGUUGGGCGACGUCCUCUUUGGGGACGCGCCUCGAAACGCUCGGCGGCGUGGCACCGGCUUUAAGCGUAGCAGAAUCUUUCGCUUUGGAAGUCGGGGCCCCGUCUGCCGGAAGACCUGCUCGCAAGGUUGACCUCGGAUCAGGCAGGGAUACCCGCUGAACUUAAGCAUAUCAAUAAGCGGAGGA
This 329-nucleotide unclassified non-coding RNA is filed under the name soil metagenome. RNAcentral describes it as "partial contains 5.8S ribosomal RNA, internal transcribed spacer 2, and large subunit ribosomal RNA". The stretch from base 1 to 120 matches the Rfam family "5.8S ribosomal RNA", at positions 35 to 154 of the family's 154-position model. The record is from RNAcentral.